This is a long non-coding RNA of Papaver somniferum (opium poppy), 1900 nucleotides long. RefSeq lists it as uncharacterized. The transcript has 2 exons. The record is from RefSeq and is a predicted model, not a curated record. Lineage: Eukaryota; Viridiplantae; Streptophyta; Magnoliopsida; Ranunculales; Papaveraceae.
UUUUCUCUCUUAUUCCUCUUUCUUCUAUUUCUUUUCUUGUUCUUUGUUUUCCUCUUCUUUUCUCUGUCAAAUUCGAUUCAUUGGAUUUGAGCUUAUUUGCGUGUAAAUUAUCCUUAGGGAGAGUGGUAGAUGGUGGUAUUUAAGGAGAAGAUGUUACUGCUGAGGUUGAUUGAGAAUGAGAAGAAGAAGAUGGAGGUAAAUGGAAGUUAGGGUUCGUCUGGUUUUGAGUUGAAAUGGAAUCGACCGGAUAUUGAGUUAUGGAUUGAUGAAUAACAAAGGGGGUUUUCAUUUGAAUGAUAUUAUGAAGUUGUUAAAGGGAGAAAUUGAAAAGAUGAUUAAGAAUUUAAGAAAUCAGUAACUUAGGGUUUCAUAAGAACAUCUCAAAGAAUUAGAAGAUGAAAUUGAAGGUCCAGAAGAAAGAUUAGAGAUGGGUUAUUGUUGAAUUAAUGAUGUGAAGCGGUUCUGUUGAAGAUUUGCAGAAUUAGGGUUGUGUUCUGUUUUCCCAAAAUUAAGAAUGAGGGUUUUGUUGAAGCAGUAGAGAAAUCAGAUGAAAUAAAAGAUGGUUUUAGAUGGUUGAGAGGAUUAUAGUGGGAUUGCAGAUGAAGCAUUAAUCUCAGGUGAUGAAUUUGGCGCUGGUGAUUGAUUUUCGGUCUGCACAAAUAAUUCUGGGUUUGAAUUGAAGUGGAUGGUGAAGUAACAACUCAGAGAGUGCUAGAUAUUGGGUAAGCCUCUAUAUUGUCUCAAUUUCAGUAUCUUAAUUUGAAUGUUUAUGAAUUAUCGAGUUUAUAUGAUUGUUCGAGAAUUUUGUUGUUGAGAAGAACAUGGAUUGGAACUGUGAACUGUAGUGAAUUACAGGGAGAAGGAGAAGUAUAUGGUGUUGGAGAUGGUGGUGUGGUCUUUGUGGUUGAAUAAGUUGGGUGUGUAUGAUGUUGAGUGAUGUUGCUUGUGAUGUUGUUGGUAUUGAUGUUAAUUGAGAUGGUAAUAGGUAGUAGUUGUGGUGCUGAGUUAAAUUACAUCAUAUGUUGACGAAUAUGUGAUGAAAAUGUGGUUGUAACUGAAAUGAGAAAGAUAUGAGUCUGCAGUAGUUCUAAGGUGAAUUUUAUGAGAUUGGGUAUCUCAGCAUGAAGAAGUAGGAAGUGGCUUAGAUGGAAGAUAAUGCUAAAUAUAAUUCAGGGAAGAAUUGAUGUGGUGUUGUUGAGUAUGGAAAUGGACAGAUCUAGAUGUAUGUGUGUGGAGAUUGAAUUACAGUUGGGAAUGAAGUAUAAUUCUUUAUGGAUGUUGCAGUUGAGGUUUGAGAUUGUAUUACUGCUGAGUUUGAGAUAUAGUUUUGCUGUCAGUGAUCUUGUUAUGCAGCUGAGAUGAGUUAAUUGGUGGUGAUGAUGCUGAAGUUGCGGUGUUUGGCUGGGAGGAUAGUAUCAAUGGAUAGUGAACGAAUCUGUAGUUGUAAAGCUAGGUUUGUGAAUGAAUUACAGGGAUUGAUCUUUAAGAACUAGGAGUUGUUGAGAAUGGUAUUAAGGUUUGAAUUGGCAAAGAAUUGGCCAAGGUAAAGCUGAGCAGCAGUGAAGUGAUUGUAUAAAGAAUGUUGCUUAGAGCUUCAAUUGCAGUUAGUCUAUUUUUACAACGAUCGAUUUAAAGGAUGAACCGAUGGAUCGUGAAUCUCGAGGUAGGCAUGGCUUGUCAUCAAAAGAGGUGGGAAUACAUUUGACUCUUUUGUAAUCAUUGUUGUUUCUUUUACAAAAGGUUAUAUUUAACAAAUCAUGCAGUGUCUGUCUAUGCAUUCCCUGUUUUAUUUAAAUUGCAUUAUGAUAAUUAUGUUGAUUCUGUUAAUCUUUCCAUGGUUUGGAAAGGACUUGAAUUGUUUGUUUGUUAUAUGAAUUGUUAUGGGAAAUGAGAAUUUCCA